UGGUAACCAGCAGACAGACCUGAGAGAAGCAAGGCUGCAGAGAAACUGUAGCCAUCACCAAACAGCAAAUCAAAGGGAAGUGUCUCAGGAGAGAUUUCUAAUUAUCACACAUUUGUCCUUGCAGCCAAACCAGGAUGCAAUGGAAAUGGUGCCUUUGGCACUAGCAUCUUAGGUCACAAAAUCAGGGACCAGAAUGUAUCCAUGGACUACUUGGGUACUGCAGAAACCAGAGAAUCUGAAGGAUGGACCAGGAGGUGUCCUGGUGAGCAUGCACUCAGGACAAAGGGCACAAGGUCAUUUGGAGAAGUACUUCCCUCAGCCCAGGGAAAAUUCUGCUAACUGGGGAAUGGCAAGUGGAGCAACCUGGAAGCCACUUGUGGAGGUGGCAAAGUCCCCCUCUCACCAAGGACUGCUCACACGUAGACUGGGCUGCUGCAUCCCACAGUGAAUUACUAGCUACAAAGAGAAGGGACUGCUCUGGGACUGGCAAUUGAGAACAUUUACAAUUAGCUGAAUUGAUUAACCUUUACAAAUGCUGUUAUUUUAUGAGGUGUUUUUCUCAGCCCUGGUUGAACAGUAUGCCUUAUUGAUUCAACAUCCUCCUUUAUGGAAGCCCUGAUUUGUCUGUGACUCCACCAGUCAUAACGCCUGCCUUGGUAAUCGCUUCUGCAUGUUCCUGGGAAAACUUGACACGGGAGACUGAUGGGCAUUAUGGAAAUGGGGUCCAUGCCUCCCUCUGAAGCCAGGGUGCAGACCUGCCUCUUCGCAUCCCUCUCCUGUGGCUGCACACACAAAGAAUGCCAGCUUCUGUGCCAGCAUCUCACUGACACUCAAUUCACUGCCUUGCGACAAAUCCUUGGUUUCUAUCCAGAUUUCUUUAAAUAAUUUGGGGUAUGUAUGUGUGUAAGGGCAGAAGGUGGUGAAAAAUUGUUAGAAAAUAGAAUUGUCUUUAGUUAGUUGUUUUUAAGAUUAUAGACUGACUUUGAGUGUCACUUUGAGUAGUGAUCCCCAA
This 1012-nucleotide long non-coding RNA is filed under the name Rhinopithecus bieti (black snub-nosed monkey). RNAcentral describes it as "lncRNA (ENSRBIG00000045649.1)". Lineage: Eukaryota; Metazoa; Chordata; Mammalia; Primates; Cercopithecidae. The record is from RNAcentral.